Clupea harengus (Atlantic herring) is the source of this 1170-nucleotide long non-coding RNA. The record is from Ensembl. Lineage: Eukaryota; Metazoa; Chordata; Actinopteri; Clupeiformes; Clupeidae.
GUGGUCAGUAAAUGUGUUUUUCCUCCUCCCCUCCUCCCUGAAGCCACAUCCUGAGGAGAGAGAAGGAAACAACAUCGACAUGGGCAAUUAGAGACCUGGCCACCCAACACAGCGUUUGGCUUCCUCGUCCCCCUCAAACCUUUAUGCCACCUCUCACUUUCAAAAGCCUCCGUUUGCAGCGACAGAUGGCUGUGUGUCUAAUUGCAUUAAUUGCAUCACACAGAACUGUACAUUUUUUACACGCGUGGUUGAGGACGUAAAUAGACUUUCACUAUGUCUGUGAUGUUCCUCCCUUCAUCUUGUGACUUGUCAUCCAUCUGCGUCGUCUCUUUCUUCCUCAGUCGCUCAACACUCUCUUCAUCUGAAAUAAGAUGCGCACCAGAUGCUCGCCAUUGUCUGGCGUGUGUGUGGAUGCUGAGCAAAAGGUGCUAUUUUUGAAAAAGCGCUUGAAGUAUUUUAGAAUCCCCAGCCAUUCAAGGUGAAGGAGGUCAAGCAUGGGCAGGAAUGUUGAUCAAGUCUUGAGUCUUUCGCAUCUCGUGUUGUUGUUUUUUUUCUCUCACAUGUUUUAUUUUUCCACCAACUCUCUUAUCAUCUCCCUCCCUUCACCUGUAGAUUUCUCUUAUUUUUUUUUUACCUCUUCACAUCACUCGCUGUCUGUCUGUUUGUCUGUUUUUCUGACUGUCUGACUGUCGGACUGUCUGACUGUUUGUCUGACUGUCUGUCUCUUUCUCUCUUUCUUUCUGAGAUUCUUUUAAAACCAUCAAAUUACUAAUGGUAUAUGUAACGUGUUUUGUUUCCCUUCAUUUGACAGUGGAUAAGUGCAGUGUGUGUUUGUCCGUCCGUUUGACACGGUUGUAGACGGAUGAUGAAGUACUUUCAUGUCAGGCAAACAAACAAAGAGCUAAAUCACAGGAGUUUGGGGGGACCGCAAAGACACUUCCUGCCAUGAGGGGGAAAAAAACAAAAGACCUUGUCUUGGGACCUUGUUGUCUCUGCCUCCACGUCUCCUUUUAUUCUUCUCCUUUCCACCUCCUCCCUCUCCUCUCUCUUUCCCUCCCCCUCUCUCUCUCUCUCUCUCUCUCUCUGAAUCUCUUGCCGUCUCUCUCCUUCUGUCUAUCUCUCUACUGUCUCUCUCAGCUCCUUCCAAAAGGCAGAAAGGCUGUUAUUGAG